This 440-nucleotide ribosomal RNA is filed under the name uncultured bacterium. Its description in RNAcentral is "partial 16S ribosomal RNA". It matches the Rfam family "Bacterial small subunit ribosomal RNA", at positions 338 to 795 of the family's 1533-position model. The record is from RNAcentral.
CCUACGGGAGGCAGCAGUAGGGAAUAUUGCUCAAUGGGGGAAACCCUGAAGCAGCAACGCCGCGUGGAGGAUGAAGGUUUUCGGAUUGUAAACUCCUUUUGUUAGAGAAGAUAAUGACGGUAUCUAACGAAUAAGCACCGGCUAACUCCGUGCCAGCAGCCGCGGUAAUACGGAGGGUGCAAGCGUUACUCGGAAUCACUGGGCGUAAAGAGCGCGUAGGCGGGAUAGCAAGUCAGAUGUGAAAUCCUAGGGCUUAACCAUAGAACUGCAUUUGAAACUGUUAGUCUAGAGUAUGGGAGAGGGAGGUGGAAUUCUUGGUGUAGGGGUAAAAUCCGUAGAGAUCAAGAGGAAUACUCAUUGCGAAGGCGACCUGCUAGAACAUAACUGACGCUGAUGCGCGAAAGCGUGGGGAGCAAACAGGAUUAGAUACCCGGGUAGUC